UGAAAUUCUUAGGGUUAAACCAAAGAACUGCAUUGGAAACUGGUAACCUAGAGUAUGGGAGGGGGAGAUGAAAUUAGUGGGUAGGGGGUAAAAUCCGUAGAUAUCACUAGGAAUACCGAAAGCGAAGGCGAUCUCCUGGAACAAUACUGACGCUAAGGCGUGAAAGCGUGGGGAGCAAACGGGAUUAGAUACCCCGGUAGUCCACGCCUUAAACGAUGUUCACUAGUCGUCGGGAUGCUAGUCAUCUCGGUGAUGCACUUAACAGAUUAAGUGAACCGCCUGGGGAGUACGGUCGCAAGAUUAAAACUCAAAGGAAUAGACGGGGACCCGCACAAGUGGUGGAGCAUGUGGUUUAAUUCGAAGAUACGCGAAGAACCUUACCUAGCCUUGACAUUGAUUGAACGGACCAGAGAUGGACCGGUGCCCUUCGGGGAACAUGAAAACAGGUGCUGCACGGCUGUCGUCAGCUCGUGUCGUGAGAUGUUGGGUUAAGUCCCGCAACGAGCGCAACCCUCGUCCUUAGUUGCCAGCAGGUUAAGCUGGGCACUCUAGGGAGACUGCCUUCGUAAGGAGGAGGAAGGUGAGGACGACGUCAAGUCAUCAUGGCCCUUAUGGCUAGGGCUACACACGUGCUACAAUGGGGCGUACAGAGAGUUGCGAUACCGCGAGGUGGAGCUAAUCUCACAAAGCGUCUCUCAGUUCGGAUUGAAGUCUGCAACUCGACUUCAUGAAGCUCAGGAAACAGGUAUUACCAGGUCUACACCGAGCUGGGUCAGGAGCUAGGAUCCACUAGUAUCGGCCCCCAGUGUGCCGGAAUUUGCCAUUAGAGUUUAAUCCUGGCUCAUGGAAGUCGUAACGACGUAACCGUUGAGAGUUUGAUCAAGGGUCAGGAAGUCGUAACAAGGUAACC
RNAcentral lists this ribosomal RNA (910 nucleotides) under uncultured bacterium. RNAcentral describes it as "bacterial SSU rRNA". It matches the Rfam family "Bacterial small subunit ribosomal RNA", at positions 595 to 1501 of the family's 1533-position model. The record is from RNAcentral.